RNAcentral lists this ribosomal RNA (328 nucleotides) under uncultured bacterium. Its description in RNAcentral is "bacterial SSU rRNA". It matches the Rfam family "Bacterial small subunit ribosomal RNA", at positions 568 to 898 of the family's 1533-position model. The record is from RNAcentral.
UGCGUAGGUGGGCAGGUAAGUCAGUGGUGAAAUCUCCGGGCUUAACCCGGAAACUGCCGUUGAUACUAUCUGUCUUGAAUGCCGUGGAGGUGAGCGGAAUAUGUCAUGUAGCGGUGAAAUGCUUAGAUAUGACAUAGAACACCAAUUGCGUAGGCAGCUCGCUACACGGUUAUUGACGCUGAGGCACGAAAGCGUGGGGAUCAAACAGGAUUAGAUACCCUGGUAGUCCACGCCCUAAACGAUGAUCACUCGACAUCAGCGAUACACUGUUGGUGUCUGAGCGAAAGCAUUAAGUGAUCCACCUGGGAAGUACGACCGCAAGGUUGAA